Non-coding RNA from Triticum aestivum (bread wheat), 135 nucleotides. The record is from Rfam. NCBI's taxonomy places the organism in Eukaryota, Viridiplantae, Streptophyta, Magnoliopsida, Poales, Poaceae.
GAUGUACUCCCUCCGUCCGAAAAUACUUGUUAUCAGAAUGAAUAAAAAGGUAUGUAUCUAGAUGUAUUUUAGUUUUAGAUAUAUUCCUUUUUAUUCAUUUUGUUGACAAGUAUUUUCGAACGAAGGGAGUAGCUA